CGGACGGGUGAGUAAUACUUAGGAAUCUGCCCAUUAGUGGGGGACAACAUUCGGAAACGGAUGCUAAUACCGCAUACGCCCUACGGGGGAAAGCGGGGGAUCUUCGGACCUCGCGCUAAUGGAUGAGCCUAAGUCGGAUUAGCUUGUUGGUGAGGUAAUGGCUCACCAAGGCGACGAUCCGUAGCUGGUCUGAGAGGACGAUCAGCCACACUGGGACUGAGACACGGUCCAG
RNAcentral lists this ribosomal RNA (232 nucleotides) under uncultured bacterium. RNAcentral describes it as "partial 16S ribosomal RNA". It matches the Rfam family "Bacterial small subunit ribosomal RNA", at positions 99 to 334 of the family's 1533-position model. The record is from RNAcentral.